GUAGGAGCUGCCGCAGGCUGCGAUCUUUUGAUCUUGUAUUUUGAAAGCAGGUCAAAAGAUCGCAGCCUGCGGCAGCUCCUAC
This 82-nucleotide unclassified non-coding RNA is filed under the name Pseudomonas umsongensis. The record is from RNAcentral. Lineage: Bacteria; Pseudomonadati; Pseudomonadota; Gammaproteobacteria; Pseudomonadales; Pseudomonadaceae.